UACGUAGGGGGCGAGCGUUGUCCGGAAUUACUGGGCGUAAAGGGCGCCUAGGCGGUUUUUUAAGUCCGCUGUGAAAGACCGAGGCUCAACCUCGGGAUGUCAGCGGAGACUGGAAGACUGGAGUGUCGGAGAGGAGUGCGGAAUUCCUGGUGUAGCGGUGGAAUGCGUAGAUAUCAGGAGGAACACCGAUGGCGAAGGCAGCACUCUGGCCGAAGACUGACGCUGAAGCGCGAAAGCUGGGGGAGCGAACGGG
RNAcentral lists this ribosomal RNA (253 nucleotides) under uncultured bacterium. RNAcentral describes it as "partial 16S ribosomal RNA". It matches the Rfam family "Bacterial small subunit ribosomal RNA", at positions 524 to 776 of the family's 1533-position model. The record is from RNAcentral.